Molecule: ribosomal RNA, 303 nt
Filed under: uncultured bacterium
Lineage: Bacteria
Description: partial 16S ribosomal RNA
Rfam family: Bacterial small subunit ribosomal RNA
Source: RNAcentral
AGCAGUCGCCGCGGUAACACAGAGGGUGCGAGCGUUAAUCGGAUUUACUGGGCGUAAAGCGUGCGUAGGCGGCUUUUUAAGUCGGAUGUGAAAUCCCUGAGCUUAACUUAGGAAUUGCAUUCGAUACUGGGAAGCUAGAGUAUGGGAGAGGAUGGUAGAAUUCCAGGUGUAGCGGUGAAAUGCGUAGAGAUCUGGAGGAAUACCGAUGGCGAAGGCAGCCAUCUGGCCUAAUACUGACGCUGAGGUACGAAAGCAUGGGGAGCAAACAGGAUUAGAUACCACGGUAGUCCCUGUCUCUUAUAC